CUGAACUCGAAUCCUUGUGUUUGGUUACAAGUGCCCUUACCCAAUGAACCAUCUCUCAUUGGCCCCAGACUGGGUUAGUUGAGCUCUCCAGUGAGCAGCUGGGCUCCAGGAACCCCUCCCAGGCUGUGGCAGGAGAUCGAGCAGCCCAGUCCUGUACAGACCUUGUGCAUGCGAUCACAAAUCCUGGGAGUUCACGAGAACAGCAGCCACGUCAUGCCUGGAAGUCAGCAGACAUGAGCAGGUUUUGAAAACAUACGGAAAAGGAAGCUUGUGAUCGACCUGAACCAUAACAUCAUCUGUGAAGCUCCUCCCUGGCAACUUCGUCCCUUCUGUGGGAACCACGCUGACCAAUUCAUGUCUCUGAAAUCCUGA
Non-coding RNA from Peromyscus maniculatus bairdii (prairie deer mouse), 372 nucleotides. Lineage: Eukaryota; Metazoa; Chordata; Mammalia; Rodentia; Cricetidae. The record is from RefSeq and is a predicted model, not a curated record.